AGUGAACGCUGGCGGCGUGCUUAACACAUGCAAGUCGAACGAGAACGGAAUAUAGCUUGCUAUAUUUGUCAGCUAAGUGGCGCACGGGUGAGUAAUGUAUAGAUAACCUGCCCUUAAGAAAGGAAUAACAGUUGGAAACGACUGCUAAUGCCCAAUAUGCCUUUAAUACAUAAGUAUGCAAGGGAAACGCUUUAGUGCUUAAGGAUGGGUCUGUAUGGUAUCAGCUUGUUGGUGAGGUAAUGGCUCACCAAGGCUAUGACGCCUAACUGGUUUGAGAGGAUGAUCAGUCACACUGGAGCUGGGACACGGUCCAGACUCCUACGGGAGGCAGCAGUGGGGAAUAUUGCACAAUGGACGAAAGUCUGAUGCAGCAACGCCGCGUGGAGGAUGACACAUUUCGGUGCGUAAACUCCUUUUAUGUAGGAAGAUAAUGACGGUACUAUAUGAAUAAGCACCGGCUAACUCCGUGCCAGCCGCCGCAGUAA
This 485-nucleotide ribosomal RNA is filed under the name uncultured bacterium. Its description in RNAcentral is "partial 16S ribosomal RNA". It matches the Rfam family "Bacterial small subunit ribosomal RNA", at positions 29 to 523 of the family's 1533-position model. The record is from RNAcentral.